UUGUGAGGGCGCCCCCCGGCGGCUCGGAGGACCGAGGGUGGUGCGUUCUAAGAAAAGAUUUUUGGGGGGGUCCAGAAAGACUCAGGAGGGGUCAGUGCAGAGGCAGCAGCUUUAUUGUUGCAAAACAGGCAAAUAAAAACAAAUUUAUCGUUAAAAAUCUUGUUAAAAUUUUGUUAAAAUUAAGGCAGUUUCAACCCUCCCCUCUCCCUUCAGACGCCCCAAAAAUCCCCACGGGGUGGGAGCCCCGAAAUUGUCACCAGAGGUAAUGGGGGGACCCCCAAAAGUAACAAACGGGGGAGUCCAAAGGGCACAGGUGGACCCCAAAAGUGAUGGGAGGACCCCAAAGCCCCCCCCAAGCAAUGGGGGCACCCCCCAGUUCUCCCCUAUAAAUAACGGGGGGACCCCAAAAACAACUGGAAUCCCCCCCGAAAAUUCACUCCAGGCAAUGGGGGAACCCCAAAAGCACCAAAGGGACCCCAAAUUUUCACUCCAGGCAAUGGGGGAACCCCAAAGGGACCCCCAACCCUCACUCCCGGCAAUGGGGGAACCCCAAGGAUGACAAAGGGACCCCAACCCUCACUCCCGGCAAUGGGGGGACCCCAAACUCCCCCCGGCCCCUCAGCAGAGGCUGACGGGCAGCCCGUAGGCCACGGGCGCGGCCCCGAUUAGCGAUUUGAGGCGGGGGGCCUGGCGGGCCUGGGCCAGCUGCCCCAAAAGGGGGGUCCCGGGGCCCCCCCCCAGCCACCCCCGCAGCAGCGCCUGCGCCAGCCGGUCCAGGUCCCGGUCCGUGACGUCCCACAGGUUCCCCAGCACCAGCGGGCUGCAAACGGGGGGACACCCCAAAACGGGGGUGUGAGAGCCCAGGUACAGAGAGAGACACCCCAAAUAGAGAGAGAGACCCCAAAUACAGAGACACCCCAAAAUGGGGCUGUGAGAGCCCAAAUAGAGAGAGAAAUACACCCCAAAUAUAGAGACCCCAAAAUGGGGGUGUGAGAUACCAGGUACAGAGAGAGACACCCCAAAUAUAGAGAGAGACCCCAAAUACAGACACACCCCAAAUACAGAGAGAGAUGCACCCCAAAUAGAGAGAGACCCCAAAAUGGGGCUGUGAGAGCCCAAAUAGAGAGAGAGAGACCCCAAAUACUGAGAGAGACCCCAAAAUGGGGAUGUGAGCACAGGGAGAAUGCCCAAAAAUAAAGAGACACCCCAAAGUCA
This 1215-nucleotide long non-coding RNA is filed under the name Junco hyemalis (dark-eyed junco). RNAcentral's name for it is "lncRNA (ENSJHYG00000000526.1)". The record is from RNAcentral. Lineage: Eukaryota; Metazoa; Chordata; Aves; Passeriformes; Passerellidae.